Paramuricea clavata is the source of this 599-nucleotide non-coding RNA. The record is from the annotation of a GenBank genome assembly. Lineage: Eukaryota; Metazoa; Cnidaria; Anthozoa; Malacalcyonacea; Plexauridae.
CGUCGAUUGGGCGUCGAAGUGUUGAAUCAUUGAGAAAAAUAUUCGUUUUGUAUAUAAAUUCAGAUAGUGUUUCAGUAAGCUGCUAAUAGUUAUAAACAUAAAAAACGUUGCAUUUUUAAAACUAACACAUAAACAAGUUAGCAUGUCAGUUAAAUAAGAUUAAAAACAACAAAAAGUUACCUUCUUAUACUGCCCGAUAAAAAAACAACUUGAAAAGCCAGAAAAGGUUUUCUCUGCUUCGCAAAUGCUCGUACUUCCACUUUCCAAAAUCAAAGUUUUCUUUUUUGUCGAAAUUGUACUUUAAAAAUUUCGCCAUUUUUAUAUUUCCGAUUAAGGCGAUUUAAUAAACAAGACGUCUGGUAUUGCUAAACCAAAGCCGCUAGAACUGUAGGAACAAAAUCAUGCAUCUGUGAGUAUUAACUUUGCUUUCUAAACGUGAUUGUAAGCAAGUUUGACUUGAAAUAGCGUUUCAUUUCGGUAUUAGGCAGCAAAAUACCGAAAUGUCGGUAUAUCGGUAUUUUUAAAUUGUGAAUAUCGCCAAACCGGUAUCUAAACAAAUACCGGUAUAUCGGAUAUAUCCGGUAUAUCGAUCCAGCCUA